RNAcentral lists this long non-coding RNA (213 nucleotides) under Elaeis guineensis (African oil palm). RNAcentral's name for it is "long non-coding RNA (EGUI_LNC038430)". Lineage: Eukaryota; Viridiplantae; Streptophyta; Magnoliopsida; Arecales; Arecaceae. The record is from RNAcentral.
AAUAGGUCUUAACCAAAUUAAGAACCUAAUUUAAUCAGAUUAAAUUAGAUUUAAAUCUGAUUUAAUUUUUUAAUCAAAUUAAAAAUUAGGUUGACCCAAGUCCUAUUUGGACUAGGACUAGUUUUUUCUUGCACUUGGCUUAUCCAAUAAACUAAUUGAACUUGAUCCAAUCAAGCCUAAACCAAAUCUAAUUAAAUCAUAUUUAAUUAGACU